AUACGUAGGGUGCGAGCGUUGUCCGGAAUUACUGGGCGUAAAGAGCUCGUAGGUGGUUUGUCGCGUCGUCUGUGAAAUUCCGGGGCUUAACUCCGGGCGUGCAGGCGAUACGGGCAUAACUUGAGUACUGUAGGGGAGACUGGAAUUCCUGGUGUAGCGGUGAAAUGCGCAGACAUCAGGAGGAACACCGGUGGCGAAGGCGGGUCUCUGGGCAGUAACUGACGCUGAGGAGCGAAAGCAUGGGUAGCGAACAGGAUUAGAUACCCUGGUAGUCCAUGCCGUAAACGGUGGGCGCUAGGUGUAGGGGUCUUCCACGACUUCUGUGCCGUAGCUAACGCAUUAAGCGCCCCGCCUGGGGAGUACGGCCGCAAGGCUAAAACUCAAAGGAAUUGACGGGG
Molecule: ribosomal RNA, 398 nt
Filed under: uncultured bacterium
Lineage: Bacteria
Description: partial 16S ribosomal RNA
Rfam family: Bacterial small subunit ribosomal RNA
Source: RNAcentral